AUUGAACGCUGGCGGCAGGCCUAACACAUGCAAGUCGAACGAGUGGCGGACGGGUGAGUAAUGUCUGGGAAACUGCCUGGUGGAGGGGGAUAACUACUGGAAACGGUAGCUAAUACCGCAUACCCUCGGAUGUGCCCAGCUGGGAUUAGCUAGUGGGUGGGGUAAAGGCUCACCUAGGCGACGAUCCCUAGCUGGUCUGAGAGGAUGACCAGCCACACUGGAACGGAGACACGGUCCAGACUCCUACGGGAGGCAGCAGUGGGGAAUAUUGCACAAUGGGCGCAAGCCUGAUGCAGCCAUGCCGCGUGUAUGAAGAAGGCCUUCGGGUUGUAAAGUACUUUCAGCGGGGAGGCGUUACCCGCAGAAGAAGCACCGGCUAACUCCGUGCCAGCAGCCGCGGUAAUUC
Molecule: ribosomal RNA, 406 nt
Filed under: uncultured bacterium
Lineage: Bacteria
Description: partial 16S ribosomal RNA
Rfam family: Bacterial small subunit ribosomal RNA
Source: RNAcentral